CCUACGUGAGGCAGCAGUGAGGAAUAUUGGUCAAUGGGAGAGAUCCUGAACCAGCCAAGCCGCGUGAGGGAAGACGGCCCUAUGGGUUGUAAACCUCUUUUGCCGGAGAACAAAACCCGGGACGUGUCCCGGACUGCGUGUAUCCGGAGAAAAAGCAUCGGCUACCUCCGUGCCAGCAGCCGCGGUAAUACGGAGGAUGCGAGCGUUCUCCGGAUUUAUUGGGUUUAAAGGGUGCGUAGGCGGUCCGUUAAGUCAGCGGUAAAAUGGCGGGGCUCAACCCCGUCGAGCCGUUGAAACUGGGAGACUUGAGUGGGCGAGAAGUACGCGGAAUGCGCGGUGUAGCGGUGAAAUGCAUAGAUAGCGCGCAGAACUCCGAUUGCGAAGGCAGCGUACCGGCGCCAGACUGACGCUGAAGCACGAAGGCGUGGGGAUCGAACAGGAUUAGAUACCCUAGUAGUC
This 459-nucleotide ribosomal RNA is filed under the name uncultured bacterium. RNAcentral's name for it is "partial 16S ribosomal RNA". It matches the Rfam family "Bacterial small subunit ribosomal RNA", at positions 338 to 795 of the family's 1533-position model. The record is from RNAcentral.